GACGAACGCUGGCGGCGUGCUUAACACAUGCAAGUCGAACGGAAAGGCCCUGCUUUUGUGGGGUGCUCGAGUGGCGAACGGGUGAGUAACACGUGAGUAACCUGCCCUUGACUUUGGGAUAACUUCAGGAAACUGGGGCUAAUACCGGAUAGGAGCUCCUGCUGCAUGGUGGGGGUUGGAAAGUUUCGGCGGUUGGGGAUGGACUCGCGGCUUAUCAGCUUGUUGGUGGGGUAGUGGCUUACCAAGGCUUUGACGGGUAGCCGGCCUGAGAGGGUGACCGGCCACAUUGGGACUGAGAUGCGGCCCAGACUCCUACGGGAGGCAGCAGUGGGGAAUAUUGCACAAUGGGCGGAAGCCUGAUGCAGCAACGCCGCGUGCGGGAUGACGGCCUUGGGGUUGUAAACCGCUUUCGCCUGUGACGAAGCGUGAGUGACGGUAAUGGGUAAAGAAGCACCGGCUAACUACGUG
This 468-nucleotide ribosomal RNA is filed under the name uncultured bacterium. RNAcentral's name for it is "partial 16S ribosomal RNA". It matches the Rfam family "Bacterial small subunit ribosomal RNA", at positions 28 to 507 of the family's 1533-position model. The record is from RNAcentral.